GGUGAGCCCCCCAGGUGUGUCCCCCCCCAUUCCCCAGCGUGCCCCCCGCCCUCCCAGGUGUGCGGGAGUUCACCUGCGACACCUGCGGGAAAUCCUUCAAGCGCAAGAACCACCUGGAGGUGCACAGGAGGACGCACACCGGGGAGACCCCGCUGCAGUGAGUGAUGGAGGGGGGGUCCUGCCCUGGACUCGGAGCCCCCCGGGAGGGCGAGGGGGGGUCCCCGGGCACACCUGACACCCACCUUGUCCCCCCGCAGGUGUGAGGUGUGCGGGUACCGCUGCCGCCAGCGCGCCUCCCUGACGUGGCACAUGCGGAGACACGGGGGGCUCAAGAGCCACCCCGAGCCCCGCGGCACGUAGGGACCCCCCCGGACUCACCUGAGCCCCCCUGGACUCACCUGGGCCCACCCGGAUUCACCUGGGACCCCCUGGACUCACCUGGGACCCCCUGGACUCACCUGGGCCCGGGCCCACCCGGAUUCACCUGGAGCCCCCCAGGACUCACCUGGGCCCACCCGGAUUCACCUGGGACCCCCUGGACUCACCUGGGACCCCCUGGACUCACCUGGGACCCCCUGGACUCACCUGGGACCCCCUGGAUUCACCUGGGCCCCCCUGGACUCACCUGGGUCCACCCAGAUUCACCUGGGACUCCUCCAAACUCAUCUGGGCCCCCCCUGGACUCACCUGGGACCCCCUGGACUCACCUGGGACCCCCUGGAUUCACCUGGAGCCCCCCAGGACUCACCUGGGAACCCUCCAGAUUCACCUGGGCCCCCCAGGACUCAGCUGGGACCCCCCCCAAACUCACCUGGGCCCCCCCAGACUCACCUGGGCCCCCCCAGACUCACCUGGGCCCACCCGGAUUCAUCUGGGCCCCCCCAGGACUCACCUGGGAACCCCCCAGAUUCACCUGGGACCCCCAGGACUCAGCUGGGACCCCCCCAAACUCAUCUGGGCCCACCCGGAUUCACCUGGGCCCUCCCUGGACUCACCUGGGCCCAUCCAGACUCACCUGGGCCCCCCCCCAGGACUCACCUGGGCCCCCACCUGCUCGCCGGGACCCCCAGAUGUUCCUGCAGCUGCGCCUGGAGGUGAAGAAGAACCACCCGGGGGGGUCCUGAGCCCCUCCCCAGGACACCCCGAGCACCUGAGGGGCCCCUCGGGGGUCUCCUUGUGUGUGUGUCCCCCCCCCNNNNNN
This 1201-nucleotide long non-coding RNA is filed under the name Lonchura striata (white-rumped munia). Its description in RNAcentral is "domestica (Bengalese finch) lncRNA (ENSLSDG00000002615.1)". Lineage: Eukaryota; Metazoa; Chordata; Aves; Passeriformes; Estrildidae. The record is from RNAcentral.